This 888-nucleotide long non-coding RNA is filed under the name Homo sapiens (human). RNAcentral describes it as "HSALNT0402445". Lineage: Eukaryota; Metazoa; Chordata; Mammalia; Primates; Hominidae. The record is from RNAcentral.
GCGGUUAAAACCCGCGCGCUGCAGCAUCGCGGAAAACGGGAUUCGCCUCAUUUGAAACUUGAGGAAAAUCUCUAAACACUUUCAUUUUGAUAGAAACCAUUUCCGCCGCUGACGUGCGUCUACGCCCAUCAUUUCAGCUGACACGUUGCUGUAACGUCUCCUCCGUUUCAUGCUCUUUCGAACCCUGUCAGCUGCGGGAAGGAACUUCUAAACUAAAAGCUGGCAAGACUCAGCAGAAAAAAAAUAUCGAAAGCUGCUUCUGCUGCCCCAGCUUCACUCAGGCCCUGGCUGCUCCUUCACUGGUCUACACUGCUGCCUCCUGGAACCACCCACUCUGCAACCAGGUCUGAUGCCCGGUGUGGACAUUCAGGGAUGAGGUCCCCUGGGGCUAAAUGAAUGAACAGAUUCUGAAAAGCAGAAGCUACGUCCGGGGGUCUCUGGGCCACAAAUCACUUUCUGACCUGCAGCCGUGAGGCGUGAGGCUCACUCGGAAGCUCCCGGAACCUGGAGACUGCCCUCACUCAACACUUGAACAAGCAAGGGGCCAGGUUCAAUGAAACACCUGCCCGCCCGGCACACCAGGCUCAAAAGCAAGCAAGCAAGCAAACAAACAAACAAAAUCAAAUCAGGCCUUCACAACUCCCCAAAUCAUGUGUGAGUUUCUACAGAGCAGAAGCCAAAAAUAUAUGUUAUCUAACUAGGUCCUAUUUACAUAUAUUUUUAUGGCUGCUCUAAAAAAUUAUCACAAACAUAGCGGCUUCACCCCGUUUCCCCUGUUGUGAUUAUUACACAUUGGAUGCCUGUAUCAAAAUAUCUCAUGGACCCCAUAAAUAGCAACACCCUGUAUGUACUCAUGACAAUUUUUUAAAAAAGAACACUUACACUUUC